UCAGGUGCAUGAAAAACAGUAUUUGCAUAAUGUGACUGAUCUUGAGUUUGUAGUUCUGAAGGUUGAGGCUCCAGUCCAGGCACUGAUCGCAGCGGUGUACAGACCCCCCAGCUACAGUUUGAGACGCUUCCUGGAAAACAUGGUAAGCCUUCUGGAUGCACUGGAGACGAUGGACUGUCACCCUGUAAUUGUUUGCGGCGACUUCAAUGAGAAUCAGGUACCCACUUCUCCCAAGCCCAUUUUGGAGCUGUUCCAGUCUAAAGGUUAUACACAGCUGAUCACAUCUGCCACCACAGACAAGAACACACUACUAGAUCUUGUAUUUAUAUCCCAGCGUCAGCAGUGUCUCCAUUCUGGUGUGAUGAGGACGUACUGGAGCUACCAUAACCCGGUGUUCUGCAUCGUUUCCACCAGUGAACCAUGAACAUGUCUGACGUGUGUACUCCAGACAGGAGACAUGUUCUCCUGUGUCCUCUGUGACAACUUCAUCCAGCACAACCAUCUGCAGAAGAUCUACACCAUCACACUUCUACAUCAUCUUCAUGAACUAUUGGUGCAAACAAGAGACACCACUGCUGGACCACACAGAGAAGUCUUCUACAUGCUGCCAUCCCAGUCUUUCUUCAAGUAGGUGAUGAAAUGUCACCUGUGAAGCUUCACCUGACCACCUGACUGGGCCUGAGAAAGAUCAUUGACAUCAUGCUGCCAUGCUGCACACCAACAACAGAGGAAGCAAGACUUUACGGAACUACGAGACUCCUCCUCCUCCUGCCAGUGACCUGGGUUCCUCACAGUAGAAGAAAAGCUCUUCCUCUGCUGUGAGUCUUUCUCUUCACCAUCGAUCCUGAUCAUCAAUACUGUCAUCAAAACUCCCAAAA
Molecule: long non-coding RNA, 878 nt
Organism: Melanotaenia boesemani (Boeseman's rainbowfish)
Lineage: Eukaryota; Metazoa; Chordata; Actinopteri; Atheriniformes; Melanotaeniidae
Exons: 3
Source: RefSeq, a predicted model, not a curated record